RNAcentral lists this non-coding RNA (148 nucleotides) under Gorilla gorilla gorilla (western lowland gorilla). Lineage: Eukaryota; Metazoa; Chordata; Mammalia; Primates; Hominidae. The record is from Rfam by way of RNAcentral.
GCCAGGCAUUGUGGCGUGUGCCUGUAAUUCCAGUUACUCAGAAGGCUGAGGCAGGAGAAUCGCUUGAACCCAGGAGGCGGAGGUUGCAGUGAGCUGGGAUCAUGCCACUGCACUCCAGCCUGGGCAACAGAGCAAGACUCUGUCUCAA